Oncorhynchus nerka (sockeye salmon) is the source of this 969-nucleotide long non-coding RNA. RefSeq lists it as uncharacterized. The record is from RefSeq and is a predicted model, not a curated record. Lineage: Eukaryota; Metazoa; Chordata; Actinopteri; Salmoniformes; Salmonidae. The transcript is spliced from 3 exons.
UGGUGGUCCUUCCACAGAUAUGUUAAUUUAUGAAUAGAUAUGGCAGUUUUCAGGACACUGAUAUAUCUAAAAAAAUUCACCACCAAAGAAUAUCAGUGUGAUUUUAAUAUGAUUUGACUCUUUGCAGGCUGUCAGGCUGUCUAGUCACAGAGGAAGGCUGUGCUUCUCUGGUCUCAGCUCUGAGGUCAAACCCCUCACACCUGAGAGAGCUGGACCUGAGCUACAAUCACCCAGGAGACUCAGGAGUCAGACUGCUCUCUGCUGGACUGGAGGAUCCACACUGCAGACUGGAGAAACUCAAUGUGGAACAUGGUGGAGAGAACAGAAUGAAACCUGGACUUAGAAAAUAUGUCUGUGAUCUCACACUGGACCCAAACACAGUAAACAGACACCUCUCUCUGUCUGAGGAGAACAGAAAAGUGACAUGGAGAGAGGAGCAGCCGUAUCCUGAUCACCCAGAGAGAUUUGAGGACUGUGAACAGGUGCUGUGUAGAGAGGGUCUGACUGGGCGCUGUUACUGGGAGGUAGAGUGUAGUGGGAGAAGGGCUGGUAUAGGAGUGACAUAUAAAGGAAUCAACAGGAGAGGAGGGGUUAAGGACUGUCGUCUUGGAUACAAUGACAAGUCCUGGAGUCUGUUCUGCUCUGUCAACAGUUACAUUGCCAGGCACAAUAAUAAUCCCACUACCAUAGACGUCCCCUCCUCCAGCUCCCACAGAGUAGGAGUGUAUCUGGACUGGCCAGCCGGCACUCUGUCCUUCUAUAGAGCCUCCUCUGACACACUGACCCACCUGAUCACAUUCACCUCCACAUUCACUGAGCCCCUCUAUCCAGGGAUUGGGGUUUGGUGGGAAGGCGACUCAGUGUCAAUAAUAACCUGACACACACACACACACUGGACACACACACACAGGACACACACACACAGGACACACACACACAGGACACACACACACACUGGACACACACACA